This 508-nucleotide ribosomal RNA is filed under the name uncultured bacterium. RNAcentral describes it as "partial 16S ribosomal RNA". It matches the Rfam family "Bacterial small subunit ribosomal RNA", at positions 30 to 523 of the family's 1533-position model. The record is from RNAcentral.
AUUGAACGCUGGCGGCAUGCCUUACACAUGCAAGUCGAACGGCAGCGGGGGAGAAGCUUGCUUUUCCUGCCGGCGAGUGGCGAACGGGUGAGUAAUACAUCGGAACGUGCCCGGUAGUGGGGGAUAACUAGUCGAAAGAUUAGCUAAUACCGCAUACGACCUGAGGGUGAAAGUGGGGGACCGCAAGGCCUCAUGCUAUAGGAGCGGCCGAUGUCUGAUUAGCUAGUUGGUGGGGUAAAGGCCUACCAAGGCGACGAUCAGUAGCUGGCCUGAGAGGACGAUCAGCCACACUGGGACUGAGACACGGCCCAGACUCCUACGGGAGGCAGCAGUGGGGAAUUUUGGACAAUGGGCGAAAGCCUGAUCCAGCAAUGCCGCGUGUGUGAAGAAGGCCUUCGGGUUGUAAAGCACUUUUGUCCGGAAAGAAAUGGCUCUGGUUAAUACCUGGGGUCGAUGACGGUACCGGAAGAAUAAGGACCGGCUAACUACGUGCCAGCCGCCGCAGUAA